Molecule: ribosomal RNA, 860 nt
Filed under: uncultured bacterium
Lineage: Bacteria
Description: bacterial SSU rRNA
Rfam family: Bacterial small subunit ribosomal RNA
Source: RNAcentral
AGAGUUUGAUCCUGGCUCAGGACGAACGCUGGCGGCGUGCUUAACACAUGCAAGUCGAGCGAUGAAACACCUUCGGGUGUGAAUUAGCGGCGAACGGGUGAGGAACACGUGAGAAAUCUGCCUUCAACACUGGGAUAACUCCGGGAAACCGGGGCUAAUACCGGAUAUGAAAUCUGCGGGCAUCCGCGGAUUUGGAAAGUUUUUCGGUUGAAGAUGAUCUCGCGGCCUAUCAGCUUGUUGGUGAGGUAAUGGCUCACCAAGGCGACGACGGGUAGCCGGCCUGAGAGGGCGACCGGCCACACUGGGACUGAGACACGGCCCAGACUCCUACGGGAGGCAGCAGUGGGGAAUAUUGGGCAAUGGAGGAAACUCUGACCCAGCGACGCCGCGUGCGGGAUGAAGGCCUUCGGGUUGUAAACCGCUUUCAGCAGGGAAGAAGCGAAAGUGACGGUACCUGCAGAAGAAGCACCGGCUAACUAUGUGCCAGCAGCCGCGGUAAUACAUAGGGUGCAAGCGUUGUCCGGAAUUAUUGGGCGUAAAGAGCUCGUAGGUGGUUCGUCACGUCGGAUGUGAAAAUCUGGGGCUUAACCCCAGACCUGCAUUCGAUACGGGCGAGCUUGAGUAUGGUAGGGGAGUCUGGAAUUCCUGGUGUAGCGGUGGAAUGCGCAGAUAUCAGGAGGAACACCAAUGGCGAAGGCAGGACUCUGGGCCAUUACUGACACUGAGGAGCGAAAGCGUGGGGAGCGAACAGGAUUAGAUACCCUGGUAGUCCACGCCGUAAACGGUGGGCACUAGUUGUGGGGACCUUCCACGGUCUCUGCGACGCAGCUAACGCAUUAAGUGCCCCGCCUGGGGAGUAC